GCGUGCGAAUGUGUGAGCAUGUGUGAGUUCCUGCGUGUGUGACUUCAGGCGUGUGUGUGUGUGUGUUUGUGUGUGUGUUGGAAUGGGGGUGGGGGGCGGUCCUGGAAAGGCCGAGAGCCUUGGAAUCUGAGGAGUCUGCAGCCCAUUCUUGAUACUGCUUUACUUUCCAAAAAGUUAUGACAACAAAACCACCCUGGGGCCCAGACCUGGAAGCCGUCAGCUAUGGAGGACCCUGGAAGCAGGCAGAGAAAGGUUUGGAGUUUUCAGUGCGAUGACACCAGCGUGCCUGCGGAAGUGGCUGUGUCUCCUCUUGCCUCCUUCCCCACCCAAUUCCGCCCCAGGAGCCCAGGGAUGGAGGCCCAGGAGACGGAUCCCACAAGAGCCAGCACCCACUCCACCCCAGUUUGUGUUUUCUAGAACCCCAUAAGAUUCGGAUGCAGCCAGUGGGGGACAGGAACUUCAGCAGGGGAAGCCGCAGCCCUGGGUGUAGACCCCAUCCACUCGUGCCUGAUGCAGCCCUCCUCUCAAGGAAGGGCGAGCUCACUGAAGGGGACAGGUCACAGGUCAGCCCAAUUCACCCUGAGCACAGAAAUGCACACUGCAUUUAGGACGGCCGGAUUGCUGGACCAAACCUGUCUCUCUGUCCCCUGCACACAUAUGCACAUGCGCAUGCACAGAGACGCAUGCUGAACUUCUACGGAAGAGGAGAGCGGUAGGACCAGGCUCUCCAGGGUCCUGCCUUGGGGUCUCUCCCCACAACUGUGGCAUAAACCUCUCUCCAGAAACAGAGGGCCUGAUAACCCGUCAGCUCCCCAGAAUCCGAAUCCUAAAAGGCUCUCCCCAGGGUUCGUCCGGCUUCAGCAGAGACCCUUCCCACCCAGGCCGGAGCCCUGCAUUCAGUUGCCAGGGACACCGUGCAGUACGGCCCCCAGCAACCUGAAGACAUCAAGGUCCCAUCCCCCUGCUUCCAAGCUGCCAACCUUCCUCAUUUCCUGGGUGGUGGGUAAGGGGCAGGGGGCAUGGGGCAGAAAGAGAUCCUCCCCCUCUCUUGGGGCUUCCUCCACCAGCCCCCUCCCCACUGAAGCUCCCUUCUGAAGGAGGCUGGAGAGCUGCUGCGGAGAGAGGAGCCCAUGUGGGAUGCCCUCCCAACACACACAGGCUGAUCACCUCACCAAAUCCUUAUUAAAACCAUCCCUGUUCAAAGGCAAAAUCAGCCAACCACCAGUGUCCCUCUGACCUAAUGUCCAGCAGGGCAAGAGCUCAAUGCCUGGAUGUCACCUCCAGGGCCUCAGCAACUGUGCAUCUCUGCUCAGGCUACCAAACAAAACACCCCAGACUUCGUGGCUUAAACACAGAAAUUUAUUUUCUCAUAGUUCUUAAGGCUGGAAGGCCAAGAUCAAGGUGCUGGCAGGGUUGAUUUCCGUGGAGGGCUCCCUGCUUGGAUUGCAGACGGCUGCCUUCUGGCCGAGAGCUCACGUGACGGAGACAGCGCACUCUCUGGGGUCUCCUCCUGUGAGGACACUAAUCCUAGCAGAGCAGGGGCCCACCCUGAGAACCUCACUUAACCAUAACUAUUUCCUUAGAGGCUCCAUUUCCAAAUACAGCCACCCUGAGGGUCGGGGCUUCCACAUCUGAAUUUGGGGGAGCACAAACAUUCAGCCUGUGACAAGGAUACCAACAGAUGUCAGCCACCACAGCCAGGCCUUGUGACCCAACAGGAGGCUGCGGUGUCCCUGGGCAUCGCUGGGGCAUGUCUCAAAUGGGUCUAAACCCAGUCUCUCUGGCUGAGAGCAGAGGUCUGAGAGGCUCAAUGGCAGGAAGGAGCCCAGUUCAGUGGGGAGGCAGAGAGCACGCAGCCUCCCUCCUUGGCGGGGUUCGGAUGCUGGCCAGCCUUCAGGGCUGGCCGGCUGCUGCCCAAGGCCUCCCGCUUCUCCAGGAAGGGCCCUCCCUUGCUCUCUCCCUCUCUGCACUCACCCCUUCUCCCUCUCCCUACACGCUUUUCCACUGUGAGACUGGAACAUCAUCGGGACAGCCCAGAAUGUCCUCUUCCCCUGCAGGAGCUCAGCAAACAUCCACAGAGUGAACAUUCCAAGCAACAUAGUCCAGGAGCCACGUUCCAGCCAUGGGGCCUCUGCACUGCUGUUCUCUUCACAUGGCCUGCCCUUCCCCCAGAAAGAGAGAAGAGGCCCUCUCUGGUUGUCCCAUCAAAACUCCACCCUUCUCUCACCCUCCUCCCAGCUGUAUCCCUUCUCUGCAGCCCUAACAUGCAUUCCACUUUAUUUCCCUUGUCUACUGUCUGCCUCUCUAACUACUAAGUCAGUUCCAGCCGCUCCAGGAUUUUUGUCUUUUCAGUUUAGCCCUGGUUCCUCAGGGCCUUAGUGACUAGUGUGUAGUGCCUAGCAGCCAGUAGAUGCUCAAUAACUGCUUGCUGAUUGACUGGGGUGAGCUCCCCAUCCAUGGAGCUAUUUCAAGCCAAGCCUAGACGAUCUUUCAGGGCUAGUUCUAACCUAAGACUUGGUAGUUCCAUGACUCUCUUCCUGGCCCAGACCGAAAAGGAACUUUCAGCAGGAACCCGGGACUGGGAUCUGAGAUGGGGCUCCUUGGAGGACUCUGACUAGGAAGAGAGACGGGAGGCCGCACCAAAAACACAAGCCCUUCAUGGGUCUCCCAGGCGUAGGUCUGGGGAAUCCCCCAGGCCCCUCAGGAUCGACCCUGCUGGCCCUGGAUCUCCAGGACGCGUCCCUCUGACCUGCCUGCCCGGCCUGUGAGUCCCCGGCAGCAACCGCUGCAGACACAGGCUGCCCAGCGCCAGGGCCAGGCCGGAUUAUCAUACAUUAAGACAUAAUUACUCUGCGGAAAUUUACAAUACAAAGCGCCCUCCCCAAGUUGGCUUCAGAAGGAUUCCAAGGAUACAAAGACCUGCUGUGUCUGCCACCGACCCAAGCUGGCCCCAGCCAGAAUUUCAAAAGAAGUGGGUGGGUUAGUUUUUGGAAAAACCCCAUUCUACCCUCCAGGCAGAAGCCCCGCCCCAAGGGUAGAGCCCUCUGAUACCCCAAGCCCCACCCAGAGGGGAGGGUCCCCUCCACCCCGACCAGCGUUGCUCCUAAACCACUCGGGUUCCCCCAAGCCCAGAAGCUCCAAGCUGACACCACCAAGGUCACCCCACUUCUCCCAAGUUCUCUCUUUUUAGACUAUUUAGGCCUAAGGGCAGAAAGAACCUUAAAUCCCAAGAUGCUAGCUUUUGACCUGCAGAGAGGUGUGGCAGCCCACUGACAUUGAUUAAGCGCCUGCUGUGUGCCUGGUACUGUGCCAGCAUCAGGAUGCCACAGAGAACAAGACAAACCAGAUCGCUGUGCUGGGGGGAGCUUACAGUCCAGUUGAGGAGACGCAGUAAGAUGCUAAAAAAAAAAAAAAUGCACAUCAGGUGUGCAGGAUGGGUGAGUGACCGGGGUGCACGGUGGCCAGAGAGCCUCAAAGGUGGCAUCUGAGCAGAGGCCUGAAUGAGCAAGAGAGACUAGCCUGUGCAAAGGCCCUGAGGUGGGGCCAUGUGUGGUGAGGGGUAGUGGAGGCAGAGAAUGCUGGCUUUUACUCUCAAGAGGGUUUCCAGCAGGGAAGCUGCCUGAUUCGGGGGACACUUGGCCUGCUGUUCUGUUAGAUUCCUGCAUCUACCACCUCCUGGCCCUGGGAUGCUGGGCAAGUCAGUUAGCCCUUUAAGCUUUUGUUCCUCCCUGCAAAAUAAAAACAGUAACCACAGCUAACACACGCUUGUUGCACAGAACAAGACAGAGAAAGUCGGGAAAGGGAGGGCCAUGCAUGUGAGGGGCGGGGGAGAAGCUCUCUGAGCCUUAGCUGCCCCA
Molecule: long non-coding RNA, 3857 nt
Filed under: Homo sapiens (human)
Lineage: Eukaryota; Metazoa; Chordata; Mammalia; Primates; Hominidae
Description: non-protein coding lnc-GINS2-2:6
Source: RNAcentral